UGGGGAAUAUUGGGCAAUGGGCGAAAGCCUGACCCAGCAACGCCGCGUGAAGGAAGAAGGUCUUCGGAUUGUAAACUUCUUUUAUGAGGGACGAAGGACGUGACGGUACCUCGUGAAUAAGCCACGGCUAACUACGUGCCAGCAGCCGCGGUAAUACGUAGGUGGCAAGCGUUGUCCGGAUUUACUGGGUGUAAAGGGCGUGUAGGCGGGUAAGUAAGUCAGAUGUGAAAUACCGGAGCUCAACUCCGGGGCUGCAUUUGAAACUGCAUAUCUUGAGUAUCGGAGAGGAAGGCGGAAUUCCUAGUGUAGCGGUGAAAUGCGUAGAUAUUAGGAGGAACACCAGUGGCGAAGGCGGCUUUCUGGACGACAACUGACGCUGAGGCGCGAAAGCGUGGGUAGCAAACAGGAUUAGAUACCCUGGUAGU
RNAcentral lists this ribosomal RNA (425 nucleotides) under uncultured Oscillospiraceae bacterium. RNAcentral's name for it is "bacterial SSU rRNA". It matches the Rfam family "Bacterial small subunit ribosomal RNA", at positions 355 to 794 of the family's 1533-position model. Lineage: Bacteria; Bacillati; Bacillota; Clostridia; Eubacteriales; Oscillospiraceae. The record is from RNAcentral.